AACAGCGGCUGUCCUGUCGUCAGGAUAAAGGCACUAACGCUGCCCGAAAUAUAGUUACAGCCAGUCUUCCGCUAAUGAGGCUUUUAUUUUGAAUGUAGUGACCGGAAGCUGUGUCAGUGACUGUCUGGUAUUGACCCUGUUCGGGCCACAGUGGAUUCAGAUCCCAUAGCUUGGCUGACUUCAGGACACUAACGUUAGCUCCCGCUACAUGUAUGUUAAUAAAAACACAGAGGGAACAGUGGAAUUGAACACUCAUGGAUCCCAACCGGAUAAUCCAGGCUCUGAAAGGGACCAUCGACCCGAAUUUGAGGAUCGCAGCGGAGAAUGAGCUUAAUCAGUCCUACAAGAUCAUCAACUUUGCACCGACACUGCUUCAGAUCAUUGUGUCCGAGCAGGUGGAGUUUCCUGUUCGUCAGGCAGCGGCGAUAUACCUGAAGAACAUGGUUAGUCAGUACUGGCAGGACAGGGAGCCGUCUCUGGGUGAGGUUGUCUUUCCCUUCAACAUCCAUGAAAAUGACCGGCAGCAGAUCAGAGACCACAUUGUGGAGGGCAUCAUUCGCUGUCCAGAGUCCAUACGCGCCCAGCUGACCAUGUGUCUGCGAGCCAUAAUCAAGCACGACUUCCCUGGACGCUGGACUGCCAUUGUGGACAAGAUCGGCAUGUACCUGCAGUCUCAGAACAGCGGCAGCUGGUACGGCAGCCUGCUUGCUCUCUACCAGCUGGUCAAAACCUAUGAGUACAGGAAGGCAGAUGAGAGGGAGCCGUUGCUGGCAGCCAUGCAGAUCUUCCUGCCGAGGAUCCAGCAGCUGAUCAGCCAGCUUUUGGCUGAUGCCACCAUCUUCUCUGUCCUCAUCCAGAAACAUAUCCUCAAGAUCUUCCAUGCUCUUGUGCAGUACUCGCUGCCUCUUCAACUGAUCAACAACACAGUAAUGACUCAGUGGAUGGAAAUUCUACGAGACAUUAUGGACCGAGACGUCCCUGCUGAGACGCUGGAGGUAGAUGAGGACGACCGUCCUGAGCUGGCAUGGUGGAAGUGUAAAAAGUGGUCACUGCGCAUCAUCACCAGACUGUUUGAGCGGUAUGGAAGUCCUGGUAAUGUGACAAAGGAAUACUACGAGUUUGCAGACUUUUUCCUGAAAACAUAUGCAGUGGGUAUACAGCAGGUCCUGCUGAAAGUGGUGGAUCAGCACCGACAGAAGCAGUACGUGACUCCUCGUGUCCUGCAGCAGUGCCUCAACUACCUCAACCAGGGCUUGUUGCACUCCCUGACCUGGAAACAGAUGAAACCACACAUACAGACCAUAUGUCAAGAGGUCAUCUUCCCGCUCAUGUGUUACAAAGACGAGGAUGAGAAGCUGUGGCAGGAAGACCCCUAUGAGUACAUCCGCAUGAAGUUCAACCUCUAUGAUGACCACGCCCUCCCAGCCACAGCUGCUCAGAGCCUCCUGUGUAAAGCUUCCCGCAAAAGGAAGGAGGUUCUUCCUCAGAUGAUGGAGUUCUGCCACCAGAUGCUGAUGGACCCCUCUGCUGACCCCCGCAGGAAGGACGGAGCACUGCACUGUAUUGGUGCUCUGGCUGAGCUUCUACUGAGGAAGAGAAUGUACAGAGAGCAGAUGGAGCUGAUGCUGCAGAACUAUGUCUUCCCUUUGCUCAACUCUCCUAUGGGUUACCUGCGAGCCAGAUCAUGCUGGGUGCUCCACUGCUUCAGUCCACUGCGUUUCCAUGAUGAGCUGGUGCUGAGGAACGCUGUCGAGUUGGUCAAACAGGAUCUAAUCGAGGACAAAGAGAUGCCCGUCAAGGUGGAGGCCUCCAUAGCUCUGCAGACGCUGGUCAGCAACCAGGAACAAGCCAAGCUGUACAUCCGGCCGUACAUCCGGCCAGUCAUGCAGGAGCUGCUGCAUGUGGUGAAAGAGACGGAGAAUGAUGAUUUGACCAAUGUCAUUCAGAAGAUGAUCUGUGAGUACAACCAUGAGGUGGCUGCCAUCGCUGUGGACAUGACGCAGAACCUGGCGGAUAUCUUCACCAGGGUCCUGCAGAGUGAGGAGUAUGAGGAGAAUGAGGACAAGACUGUCAUGGCUCUUGGCAUCCUGAGCACCAUCGACACCAUCCUCACUGUCAUGGAGGACCAUAAGGAGAUCACGCAGCAGCUGGAGGGGAUUUGUUUGCAGGUGAUCGGCCUGGUCUUGCAGAAGCCCAUCAUAGGUAUGGCAGAAUUUUAUGAGGAGAUCCUGUCGCUGGCGUUCGGCCUUACCUGUCAGACCAUCUCCCCCCAGAUGUGGCAGCUGCUGGGCGUCCUGUACGAGGUCUUCCAGCACGACUGCUUCGAUUACUUCACAGAUAUGAUGCCUCUUCUGCACAACUACGUUACAGUGGAUACAGACAUGCUCUUGUCCAACCCAAAGCACCUAGAGGUCAUCUACAGCAUGUGCAAAAAGGUGCUGACCAUAGAUGCAGGUGAGGAUGCAGAGUGUCAUGCUGCCAAACUGUUGGAGGUCAUCAUCCUGCAGUGCAGAGGCAGAGGCAUUGACCAGUGCAUACCUCUGUUUGUGGAGGCAGUACUGGAGCGUUUGAUGAGGGGGGUGAAGUCCAGCGAGCUGAGAACCAUGUGUCUGCAGGUGGCCAUCGCUGCUCUGUACUACAACCCAGUCCUGCUCAUCCACACUCUGGACAACAUGCACUUUCCACACAACCCGCAGCCCAUUACUGCCCACUUCAUCAACCAGUGGAUAAAUGACACAGAGUUCUUCCUUGGGCUCCAUGACCGCAAGAUGUGUAUUAUCGGCCUGAGCGUGCUGAUGGAGCUGCCCAGCCGACCGGCAGUCCUCGAGGGAAUUGCCACCCAGAUCAUCCCCUCCAUCCUGCUCCUUUUCCUGGGCCUCAAACACCUCUAUGCCUCCCGUCUCAUCAACAAGCCAGACCUGCUGGCCCGCGCAGGGCCUCAGGAUGAAGACCAGAAUGAGGAGAUUCCAAGUGAUGAAGAUGAGGUGAAUGAGAACAGAAAUGCCAUGCAGCAGCAGACCAGCACGCCGACAGGCCAGGGCGGCGAGGACGAUGAUGAAGAUGAAGAUGACUACUGGGAUGAUGAUGGCUUUGAGGGAACACCCCUGGAAGAGUACAGCACGCCUCUCGACUAUGACAAUGGAGAGGACGAGUAUCAGUUCUUCACCUCAGCCCUGCUCAGAGUCCAGAACACUGAUGCAGUCUGGUACCAGAGUCUGAUGGCUCCACUCAGUGACGACCAGAAGAAACAGCUGCAGGAGAUCUACAGCAUCUCACAGCAGAGGAGGAGCACUGCCGCCAAGGGCCAAUGAAAAUAAAGUUUCCGCAGAGGUUCACCAUCUUCCUAUACAAAACAGAGACAACACUAGGUAAGUAAUAUAUAGUCCUUCUCCCUGAAUCACUAUUUAUUUCAUUUUUAAAAGAUCUACGCUCAUUUUUAAAAGGUCACAACUAUGAUAUUUUUUUGUCUUUUUUUUAAAGUUACCCCCCGAUGAGCUGGAGGGUCUGUACCUUACGCAAUCAGACUACGGUAAUGUUACCAUUUGUUUGUUCUUGUUUUUCUAUUUAACAAUGUCAAUAUUGGAAACGGUAUCAUUCAUUCUCUAACUACCUACAGAUUUAAUGCUGAUCAGCUUAACUGGGUUGGAAAUCCAACCGUUUUCCAUGGGGAGUUAGGAGGCGUUGAAGAGGGAGAGAGUUCACGGGCAAUCCGUUCUGAGAGCCGUCUGAGGGUCAACCGUUUACAGCUUCCAAAACAUCUUAAACCCAGUCUGACGGAUUCAGCCUUCCGAAAAUAUCCAAUGAAGGUCCGACGAGGGAAUCUGCCAACAGUCUGGAUGUAACUGGGGUUCAGUCGUCAACUAUACCGCCUGAGACUCCUGAGAUUCCUGUCACGCAGUCGCAUCUACCCAGCCCAUCAGUGUCCCCUUUGCAAGGACACUGAUCAGAGAGGGGAUACCGAGGAGAAAUCUGAUUCGUCAGUCCAGAAAAGGGCGAAGAGGACCUCCCUACCUAUGUCGGAGAAGCUCAAAAACCCACUCUGUCGAUCCUCAGCGUCUGUGUGCGAGCAAUUGCAGAGUCAUUUUACAGUUGGGUCAGGGUCUUUUAUCUGCUUUUAUGGCUUUGUGUGAGAAGUUAGUAAAGUAAAGUGUGACAUUUCAACAUGGAUAAAGAUUUAAACUUGGGUUUUUGGGAUCUUUGUCAGUCUGACGUAGUUCCAACUGAAUUAGAGAAAUAUGUAGAAGAAUUGAACCGUAUUCCACCCGCUUUUGCAGUAGACGUUAGCAUAGCUAACAUAGCUGAAAAUUCCUCAGAAUCUGAUCCUUUUGCAGAAAUCCAUCAAAUCUGCUAUACGGAAAGUUAUUUCCAACCUAUAGAAGAUGCUGUCAGACUAGUCGAACAAAUACCAUCACCCACCCCCUCCCAGCAGCACGAGUCUGACGCUCAAGCCUCUUUCGCCGCCCUUUGCGCCACUCGCUCCUUCUCCUCACGCCGUGCCGAUAGAGACCAAUAAUGAACCUAUUUCCCCUGCUUCACACGCCACUCAUAUGCGUGUGUGAAUCAAACCCCGCUCAAUAGAGCGGAGGAAAUUGAGGGUGGGAAGCUGAACCGUGCAGAACACUAUCCCGCGACCGUUUCAACAAUCUAGAAAUGAGACAAGUUUUUACAGUACCACCUCCUAGAAACGUGCCUGAUCUAGCUCAAUUUUACCAAGACGUCGUCAAGACCCUCAAGGAUCUGGCCGACAAAGUGAAAUUAAAGGCUAAACGUAAAAGGCGAAAACAUUUAAAAAAAAUCACAUUAAUGUGACCAUCGACGAAGCCGGGGAAGCUAUCCUGCCGGCUUUUGAAGGUUUACUAGAGCGCUUAGUGCAAUCCAACACAAAUAUAGCCUCAGACGUUAGUCUUGAAUUAAUCGUUCAGGUGGUGCGAAACCCCAGAGGGGGUAAGAAAUGAAAAGCAGUCAAAACUUUAGACUGUGAAAUAAUAAAUAGAAAAAAGCAACAUUCUUCGUCAUCAGCUUAGCUCAUCUUAUCGACCCUCAACUCACGAACAGAGAGGCCGAAGAACGAGGAAGAGAGUGGCAACAUCUCGCCGGUCUGAGCGAUCAGACAACCGUGACCUUUAGCGAUGUAGGCAAAUUACAAAAAUAUUGUUUAACGUAAAAUUGUGGUGACGACCGCCCCCUCUCAAUUUGAAACUGACUUUUCUGAUCGAUCUAACCCUGUUUCUAUUUUUAUUCCAAAACCAUUACUCCUGUUGGGUCUGAGCUCUACCUCAUGAGCUGGACACCAAAUAUGUUGGAAUUCGGUUGUUUAUCAAUUUAUUGGCUAUCAUAAAUUAAGAAAAUAUUAAUAUUAAUUAAUAACUUUAAAAUGAAUUAGGUUCACGGGGCACCAGCCUAAAUUAAUAGGCAAAAUAGCCAAUAUGGUUUUAGUCUCAAUUUAUUAUCAUUAAUCUGGAACUCUGAUUAACCAUUAGCUUACUAACUAUAACCAAAUUACCAUAUGUACAGUAAGUUAAAGUUGAAGGAUUGGAAUUCUACCGAGUAAAGGUUGGCAAUAUUCACGCUUGUGCAACAUUAAACACACCAGUAGAUACUUGAAGGCAUUUAUUUACAAUGGAGCAGAGUAAAACACAAUGUCUAAUCUAGUUUAUACAGGUGUGUGUGUGUGUGUGUGUGUGUGUGUGUAGGUGUAUGUGUGUGUGUCUGUGGGGACACAGACAAAGGCAAGAUGGCCGAUUCAAAGUGGUCACUGUGACCACAUGACCUGGUUGAACAGUAUUGCAUUCUCAGGUGUAACUGAUAUCUUUAUGACAUGUAAACAUGAAAUCCAUCAUAUUCUUCAUGAAUGCUACUCAAAUAGACAGGAAAACCUAUCCUGAAGUGUUCUGUGUAGAAAUCCCACUAAAUGUGAAUGCUGAGAUUUUGGAGACACACAGACAGCUUUAACGAGGAAAAGAGCCGAUUUAGGCGCUGGAAACGUGAAAACAGCGCUAUUGAACAGGAUUGCAUUCUCAGGUGUAACUGAUAACUUUAUGACAUGUAAACAUGAAAUCCAUCAUAUUCUUCAUGAAUGCUACUCAAAUAGACAGGAAAACUUAUCCUGAAGUGUUCUGUGUAGAAAUCCCACUUAAUGUGAAUGCUGAGUGUGGAAGCUAUUUGGUGUUAUUUAGUUUAUUGUUUAGAUUUCAUUAUUCUAUUUUGAUUUCAUUAUGAUUAAAUUUCUGUUAGUAUUCUGUUAGUUUAUCAUUUUUGUAGUUUGGGUGUUUUGUUGUUAUUUGUUUGUUUCAUUUGGGCACGGUAGGGAGGCACCGUAGGUUAUAUAGGUAAGCGCACGGUAGGGACCAGCAUGCACCUGGGUGGGCAAAUGGUUUUUUACCGGAGCGGGAGAGGCACAGGAAUUUUUCUUUGUUCUGUGUUUGCUUGUUAUCCGAUUGAAUAAAUCACGU
Molecule: RNA transcript, 6452 nt
Organism: Seriola aureovittata
Lineage: Eukaryota; Metazoa; Chordata; Actinopteri; Carangiformes; Carangidae
Gene: ipo8
Gene name: importin 8
Exons: 27
Source: RefSeq, a predicted model, not a curated record